AGCCUCCGUAUGUAGUUUUAGAAUGUCAGAUGUGCUCGUGUUGGGGAUGUCAUUCGUCCAUUUAAAGGUUGCUUUGGUAAACUACUGCUAGUAUUUUCCUGAGGGCUUGGGCGGGGUGUCGUUGUCUAAGGAAUCCAGUUUGUUGCUCGGUUUAUCCACUCAACCUCUGAGGGAGGUUUUACCGUCUUUCACCGUCUUCUUGGGAUCAUAGCUUUAACAGCAUGCAGAAGUUGAAGUGUGUGGGUGACAACUGGUGGUCCAACUCCUCCAUGACACAUGGAAACCCCCUGCCAGUACCAUCUUCACCGCCACCUUUUUGGGAUCUCUGAACUUUCUGCUGUGGAACUAACAUGGAACCUACACACUUUUUUGCUAGGACCACAGUUAAUAAAGGGUAAAAUAUUUCUUUUA
Molecule: long non-coding RNA, 411 nt
Organism: Xenopus tropicalis (tropical clawed frog)
Lineage: Eukaryota; Metazoa; Chordata; Amphibia; Anura; Pipidae
Exons: 3
Source: RefSeq, a predicted model, not a curated record